This 162-nucleotide small nuclear RNA is filed under the name Volvox carteri f. nagariensis. Its description in RNAcentral is "U1 spliceosomal RNA". It matches the Rfam family "U1 spliceosomal RNA". From Rfam's summary of the family: U1 is a small nuclear RNA (snRNA) component of the spliceosome (involved in pre-mRNA splicing). Lineage: Eukaryota; Viridiplantae; Chlorophyta; Chlorophyceae; Chlamydomonadales; Volvocaceae. The record is from Rfam by way of RNAcentral.
AUACUUACCUGGCCCGCUUCUCGAGGUGGUCAUCAUGGCCUCGGUUGUAUGAUUGGUCUUCACCUUUGCACUUCGUGAGGGCCUCUCGUAGUCGGCCCUUCGGGUGUCCGGCAGGGCUAAAUUUUUUUCAGGCUGAGGAUUCGCGCACUGCGCGACCUCGGC